RNAcentral lists this ribosomal RNA (2172 nucleotides) under Triticum aestivum (bread wheat). Its description in RNAcentral is "partial small subunit ribosomal RNA". Lineage: Eukaryota; Viridiplantae; Streptophyta; Magnoliopsida; Poales; Poaceae. The record is from RNAcentral.
UGUGUGGGAGAGAUGAGGCGGGAAAGCAGGGGCAGAGGCCGGCAAAGGGUGGCGGCGAGCGGCCUCGAUCGGUUCGAAAACAACGUAUAUGGGAAGUGAGGUUUUCGAGGGUGGAAAGACUGUGGCGGCCGGCCUAACCGGCAGGUACAUUUUAACAAGAAGAACUUAGGACUCCAAUCGAUCGCCGGCAUCCUUAUCCUAGCAGCGCGGUAGAGGCCGCCGCACAUCCUACGGGCAGGUUCUAACCCUGACUCCGCCGCCGCCGAUUUACAUGGCGUUCUUGCGCAGCCGUGAGUGGACGAAGAUGGACACAAGAGCAACUAACUAACCUUCAAACCUUCACCACUAGAGCCGCUACCUCGACCUAGACUUGCACCUCCUCUUCGGCCGCCGCCACCGCGCCUCGCUGAGGCCCUGCAGCCUCAGCAGCCACGACUUGCGCCUCCGCAGGACGCCGCCCCCGCGGCGCGGCCGGCUCCUCCGGAGGUCGAGCUGCGCGGUCGGCCGCGGCCGCGGCGCCCGCCACGAGCUCAAGUCGUAGGACUCCUCGAGCCGCAGGCGGCUCCCGCUCUUGCUGCAGCCGCGGCUGCUGCUGCUCCUCCUCCGCUGGGGGAGCGGGGGCGGAGGCGGCGGCGCCGUGAUGAUGGUCGUGGACGACGUCGGCGUUGUUGAGCAGUGGGUUCUCGACAAGGGUCGGCGCCGGCGGCCGCCGCCAGGCGGCCGCUACGGGCACGGCGUCGUAACCCGGCUCGAGCCGAAGAAGGCGGGGCGCCGCGGCGGGGGCCUGUACUCCUAGGACGUCGACGUCGUCGUCCGCGUGCGCGGCGGGGGCGGCGGCGGCCGCCGGGUCGGCGGCCACCGGUUCUUCUCGGCGGCGCCGGGCGCGAGGGCGUCGAGCGUCAUGGCGCCGCACUGGAAGAUGGCGGCGUGGCCGGCGACCCUUAGGGUAUAGACCCUAACGCCGUUCGUCCACAUGAACCCACCCAAACUGUGACGUGUACGACGACGUUCCCGCAUGCUAGCUCGCCGCUAGUUCAAGGCGCCGCAGCUGCGGCUGUAUUUGAAGUUGGAGUCGCUGAUGCUCCUGCUGUACUUCGUCUACUUCCCGGACAGGUUCCUCCUCAAGCACGUGCACGACGCCGCCGUCUCAUGGCCGAAGAGCGCCCCGUCGAGGUUCAUGUCUCCGCAGUGGGACGUGUUCACGCCGGCCACCCUCCGCGCGUACCCGGUCAAGGAGCCGUUCUUCCGAAUGCUGUUCCGCCGCUAGUUUACGUUACCAUCUCUCCGGCACUGGUUGAAGCUCGGCUCGUGGAUACUACGCCUCGACGAGUUACUUCAACGACGACUUCCGCGUCUACAGCUGGAGUUGAACUCGUAUAGAGUUGGUUGAAGUGUUUCAGGGUUUUCCCUAUUCUCGUCGGAACCGGACGUUGAGGUGGUACCUAGUAUACUACCGAGACUUGAUUUCUCUGGUUUCCAGCUACGAGGGGGACUCUACCAACGCUAGGGAGUAGCCAUGGGGGAAGACUGGCUCGUAGGUGGUUAGACCGUACCGGUUAGUAUAGGGGAGAAAAAUUUAUUACUCCUUCGUCGGUCUCUAGUAUCGUCCUCCGGUCUCCACCGGUGUCCCCGACAAGGUUGGACCCGUACCUCCCACUCGGUGGGAGGAGGUUGUGUUGGGUACGGUGAGAAGAGCAGCAGUAGCAGGCGACGUCGUAGUAGUCCUAAGAGGUUUUGGCGGCGCCGUCGACGGGGGCCGCGGGGUAGCCGGAGUAAGGCCAAGCUGGGCUACCGCGGUAGUAGUAGCAGUUCGUUGGUUGUGGUGGUGGUGGUGGGGGCGACUUUUUCUUCGGUAUGACAUUUAAAAGACCCUUCGGUCAUAGAAAAACGGGGAGGCCGCAAAGUCGCAAAAGCCAGAACGCGGCCCCACCAAAGUACAUCACCUAACCUAAGUACUGACAUAAAGGGUACGACGGGUUUCACUUUACAGGGAAGAAGAGACGCGAGAGACGUAGCCGCGUAACCAGGGUAUUAAGAGCGACAGUCUAUGAUUGGAGUCGAGUAGAGUGGUAGACUCUACCUAAAUAUGGUAACAACAUCUGUUUGGACAGUGACUUUAAGUCGUCAUGGCUAUGGUAUUCUAUUCUCCUUGGAAAUGAAACCCUUAAUAAG